Phyllostomus hastatus (greater spear-nosed bat) is the source of this 1064-nucleotide long non-coding RNA. RefSeq lists it as uncharacterized. The transcript has 4 exons. NCBI's taxonomy places the organism in Eukaryota, Metazoa, Chordata, Mammalia, Chiroptera, Phyllostomidae. The record is from RefSeq and is a predicted model, not a curated record.
CAAGGCUUGAGGGUGUCUUGUUGAGGUUAAAAAGCAGGUAGAUGAGAGUAAGGGGAUAUAGAAAGGUAAGGUAGAUAAUAUGAGCAGAACAUCAAAUAUUCUUAAGUCUUUGGGCUUAAGGUCUCUGAAGUGGAAUAGUUUGGAGAUGAUGACAAGAUUUGGAGUGUGACCAUGUGGAUGAAGCAUCGGCGAAGUGAGAAGCAUUGGAGUCCAAGCUUCUACUGUGAAUGUAGAGUGACUUCUUGACCCAGGAAGGUGACCUGCCCAUUGUCAAUCAUCCAGAAUCCUAGUGACUUUUCAAGCCUUAUCCACCAUCCAGAGGCACAAAUAAUCAGUUCCUCUGGACAACCUGAGGACAACCUUAUUAUGGUGCAUCUCACCUUGGAUCCCACUUGUCUUGGUAGCAUCUCCCCCGAGGUACUGGCUGAGAUUCCAGAGGGGUAGGUUUGCCUGUUGGUGAAAGGAUGAAGUAAGAAGCUCUCUUUUAGUCAUAGGAUUAUGUAUGUUUCCAUUAGAAGAAUAUCUCCCUGGAUUUUGAAACAAAACAGCUGCUGCUAUCCAAAUAUGUAUAAAUGGUGGUAUAAAUGUAACACAUUAUAUUUCUUUUAACAUCUAUUUUUAUUACAUUGAUUCUUUUGGAAAAGUUGAUUGUUUCCAUACUUGCUCUGCACCCUCCUCUCUUCUUUGGUCUCCUCCUUUUGUACCUUCCACUCAUAGGGAGGAAGAAGGACCUUUUUGGAAAUGUAUGUAUACAAGGGCAGAAAUACUCAAGACUUUAAAGGGACAAGAAACAGUCCAUUAGAAAAAAAUUACAUCACUCCAAGAAGAUGGGAAUAAAGGUUGUUACAUUCUGAUCUGUAUGGCAGUGAAUAGGCAAAAGAAGGACCAGACUUUCAGACUUGGACAAGGACAAAGCUUCAGAGCAAUUCAUGGGGCAGAAUGUAAAAUAAAUAUUUGUAAAAUGAACAUAAAUAAUGAGAGAAUUUUUUAAGGAACUGCAGAAAUAAUAAAGAAAAUAACUGGUCAAUGUGUGUGGAUAUAGAAUCUUCGUCAUGAAGAAUCAU